RNAcentral lists this small nuclear RNA (109 nucleotides) under Choloepus hoffmanni (Hoffmann's two-fingered sloth). The record is from RNAcentral. Lineage: Eukaryota; Metazoa; Chordata; Mammalia; Pilosa; Megalonychidae.
GUGCUCACUUCAGCAGCAUAUAUAUACUAAAACUGGAAUGAUACAGAAAAGCUGAGAAGGGCCUCUGUGUAAGGCUGACACGUAAAUUCAUGAAGAAUUGUAGGAGCAG